Molecule: ribosomal RNA, 500 nt
Filed under: uncultured bacterium
Lineage: Bacteria
Description: partial 16S ribosomal RNA
Rfam family: Bacterial small subunit ribosomal RNA
Source: RNAcentral
AUUGAACGCUGGCGGCAUGCCUUACACAUGCAAGUCGGACGGCAGCACGGGUGCUUGCAUCUGGUGGCGAGUGGCGAACGGGUGAGUAAUACAUCGGAAUGUACCUUAUCGUGGGGGAUAACGCAGCGAAAGCUGUGCUAAUACCGCAUACGCCCUGAUGGCGAAAGCGGGGGACCGAACGACCUCGCGCGAUUAGAGCGGCCGAUGCCUGAUUAGCUUGUUGGGGGGGUCAAAGCCCACCAAGGCGACGAUCAGUAGCUGGUCUGCGAGGACGAUCAGCCACACUGGGACGGGGACACGGCCCAGACUCCUACGGGAGGCAGCAGUGGAGAAUUUGGACAAUGGGGGCAACCCUGAUCCAGCAAUGCCGCGUGAGUGAAGAAGGCCUUCGGGUUGUAAAGCUCUUGUGUCAGGGAAGAAACACCGGCUCUAACACAGUCCGGGAAUGACGGUACCUGAAGAAUAAGCACCGGCUAACUACGUGCCAGCCGCCGCCGUAA